UACGUAGGGUGCAAGCGUUAAUCGGAAUUACUGGGCGUAAAGCGUGCGCAGGCGGUUUUGUAAGUCAGAUGUGAAAUCCCCGGGCUUAACCUGGGAACUGCGUUUGAAACUACAAGGCUAGAGUGUGGCAGAGGGGGGUGGAAUUCCACGUGUAGCAGUGAAAUGCGUAGAGAUCGGAAAGAACACCAACGGCGAAAGCACUCUGCUGGGCCGACACUGACACUGAGAGACGAAAGCUAGGGGAGCGAAUGGG
Molecule: ribosomal RNA, 253 nt
Filed under: uncultured bacterium
Lineage: Bacteria
Description: partial 16S ribosomal RNA
Rfam family: Bacterial small subunit ribosomal RNA
Source: RNAcentral